UCGAGUGGAUGAGACGCGAAGCAAGAAAGGGUCAGCUUGGAUUAUAUUCAUUUUUUUCCUGAGCAAGCCCCCUAAAUUUAGGUGUGUGGAGACCCCGCGCAGACUCCUGGAAAAGAGCAAGAACCUCAGUACCUGGAAUUUAAAAAAAAAGAGAGAGAGAGAGAGAAAUCAUAAUGGAGAGACUGACAGGGGGACCUGCCAACCUCAGAUGCCUCACGAUCAGAGAUCUUCCCAGCUGGAUGGAAGAAGAGAAACCAAAAGAAGUCUGAGAAACUGACACUCUAGUAUAAGAGUUCUGGAUCUUCUUCUCCUUCAGGUCAAGUGGGUCAUGAUGGAUGGAGCAGGGAGAUAUACAGAGAAGAGCAGACCUCUAGAUGAGGUUGAUAAUCCAAAAGGAAAGAAGAAUGACUUACUGUCUACCUGGAACUCCUACAAGCUAUAGCUUCUCACACACACACCACCACGCCAAGAAGCAGAGCAAAGACGGCUACAGUUGGACAACCUGAAGUAGUCCCAAUAACAUUUUCAUAAUCCCAGAGGAGUACUUGAGAGAGACUGCUCCUUUCCAGUGUCCAUGAGGAAAGCACAAUGGUUAACAGAGAGAGCUCUAAUGGACGUCACCCAGAUGUAAGGAAAACAUACCAAACAGGGAGAGGCUUCCGCCCUCUCCCGCAGUAGCAAAUGAGGUCUACACUGCUUCAGCACCCGUCAUGGUGAAGGAACUUGCCACCUGAGAAUUGCAUAGAGCUUUUGUACAUUUCAGCGAGGCCUGAAGAGAAUUAAUUAACACCCACCCACCCCCCUGUAGCUUGUGUAAUCUCUGUGAUUUAAAAUGAAAUUCAGACAGAAAGGAGGGAGAUAAAAUCCUGAAUUUAACUGAGUUUGAACCUCAAAUACCUGAGAGAAAUCUCUGAAAUGAUUAAAAUUGCCUGGACAUAACUAGAUCACAGUUUCUAAGUUUAGUUUUAUGAUUGCACUGAGGGGUAUAUGGCUUGUGAAAAAUCACACACUAUAUACAUAUUUGGUUUCUGUACUUCUCAACUAAUCUUUUGUAGCGUCUUGAUGAAGUUUCGAUUAAAA
This 1080-nucleotide long non-coding RNA is filed under the name Canis lupus familiaris (dog). RNAcentral's name for it is "lncRNA (ENSCAFG00845020033.1)". Lineage: Eukaryota; Metazoa; Chordata; Mammalia; Carnivora; Canidae. The record is from RNAcentral.